RNAcentral lists this ribosomal RNA (253 nucleotides) under uncultured bacterium. RNAcentral's name for it is "partial 16S ribosomal RNA". It matches the Rfam family "Bacterial small subunit ribosomal RNA", at positions 524 to 776 of the family's 1533-position model. The record is from RNAcentral.
UACGGAGGGUGCAAGCGUUAUCCGGAUUCACUGGGUUUAAAGGGUGCGUAGGCGGGUUGGUAAGUCAGUGGUGAAAUCUCCGUGCUUAACAUGGAAACUGCCAUUGAUACUACUGAUCUUGAAUUUUCUGGAGGUAAGCGGAAUAUGUCAUGUAGCGGUGAAAUGCUUAGAUAUGACAUAGAACACCAAUUGCGAAGGCAGCUUGCUACAGGGAUAUUGACACUGAGGCACGAAAGCGUGGGGAUCAAACAGG